GAGCUUGGGAUAACCCUGCGAAAGCGGGGCUAAUACCGGAUAAGACCACAUGUCAUAUGCCAUGUGGUAGAAGGUGGCUUGUAUUUAUAUGAGCUAUCACUUGAGGAUGAGUCCAUGGCCUAUCAGCUUGUUGGUGAGGUAAAAGCUCACCAAGGCUAUGACGGGUAGCUGGUCUGAGAGGACGACCAGCCACACUGGGACUGAGAUACGGCCCAGACUCCUACGGGAGGCAGCAGUGGGGAAUAUUGGGCAAUGGGCGCAAGCCUGACCCAGCGACGCCGCGUGGGUGAUGAAGGCCUUCGGGUUGUAAAACCCUUUCGUGCGGAAAGAACAGUCUCGUAGCGAAUACCUACGGGAUUUGACGGUACCGCAGGAAGAAGCACCGGCUAACUCCGUGCCAGCAGCCGCGGUAA
This 413-nucleotide ribosomal RNA is filed under the name uncultured delta proteobacterium. RNAcentral describes it as "bacterial SSU rRNA". It matches the Rfam family "Bacterial small subunit ribosomal RNA", at positions 134 to 523 of the family's 1533-position model. Lineage: Bacteria; Deltaproteobacteria. The record is from RNAcentral.